RNAcentral lists this unclassified non-coding RNA (240 nucleotides) under soil metagenome. RNAcentral describes it as "partial contains 5.8S ribosomal RNA, internal transcribed spacer 2, and large subunit ribosomal RNA". The record is from RNAcentral.
AACCUAGCACACCUGCGGUGUGUACCUGCGGAAGGAUCAUUACCGAGUUUACAAACUCCCAAACCCUUUGUGAACCUUACCAUAUUGUUGCUUCGGCGGGACCGCCCCGGCGCCUUCGGGCAACGGAACCAGGCGCCCGCCGGAGGCCCCAAACUCUUAUGUCUUUAGUGGUUUUCUCCUCUGAGUGACACAUAAACAAAUAAAUAAAAACUUUCAACAACGGAUCUCAGAUCGGAAGAG